ACGGAGGAAGGUGGGGAUGACGUCAAGUCAUCAUGGCCCUUAUGUCCAGGGCGACACACGUGCUACAAUGGCCGGCACAACGGGAAGCGAGUUCGCGAGGACGAGCGGAUCCCUCAAAGCCGGUCGCAGUUCGGAUUGAAGUCUGCAACUCGACUUCAUGAAGCUGGAAUCGCUAGUAAUCGUGGAUCAGCCAAGCCGCGGUGAAUACGUUCCCGGGCCUU
This 221-nucleotide ribosomal RNA is filed under the name uncultured Synergistaceae bacterium. Its description in RNAcentral is "partial 16S ribosomal RNA". It matches the Rfam family "Bacterial small subunit ribosomal RNA", at positions 1163 to 1382 of the family's 1533-position model. The record is from RNAcentral. Lineage: Bacteria; Thermotogati; Synergistota; Synergistia; Synergistales; Synergistaceae.